GACGAACGCUGGCGGCGUGCUUAACACAUGCAAGUCGAACGGAAAGGCCCUGCUUUUGUGGGGUGCUCGAGUGGCGAACGGGUGAGUAACACGUGAGUAACCUGCCCUUGACUUUGGGAUAACUUCAGGAAACUGGGGCUAAUACCGGAUAGGAGCUCCUGCUGCAUGGUGGGGGUUGGAGAGUUUCGGCGGUUGGGGAUGGACUCGCGGCUUAUCAGCUUGUUGGUGGGGUAGUGGCUUACCAAGGCUUUGACGGGUAGCCGGCCUGAGAGGGUGACCGGCCACAUUGGGACUGCGAUACGGCCCAGACUCCUACGGGAGGCAGCAGUGGGGAAUAUUGCGCAAUGGGCGGAAGCCUGAUGCAGCAACGCCGCGUGCGGGAUGACGGCCUUCGGGUUGUAAACCGCUUUCGCCUGUGACGAAGCGUGAGUGACGGUAAUGGGUAAAGAAGCACCGGCUAACUACGUG
RNAcentral lists this ribosomal RNA (468 nucleotides) under uncultured bacterium. RNAcentral describes it as "partial 16S ribosomal RNA". It matches the Rfam family "Bacterial small subunit ribosomal RNA", at positions 28 to 507 of the family's 1533-position model. The record is from RNAcentral.